RNAcentral lists this long non-coding RNA (430 nucleotides) under Gossypium barbadense (sea-island cotton). Its description in RNAcentral is "long non-coding RNA (GBAR_LNC009939)". Lineage: Eukaryota; Viridiplantae; Streptophyta; Magnoliopsida; Malvales; Malvaceae. The record is from RNAcentral.
AACCAUGGUCAUGUGUCCAAGCCAUAUAUGGUACUUGAUGCUGCCCUCCGAGGUUAGACCUAACAGCGGCAGCACCGAUGAGCCACGAGCCACUGGGUAGAACAGAAAUGCUAAACACACAUUCCCCGUAAGCCCUAUCCACAACGCUAUAUCGAAUAACUUCAUUUCCCAUCUGCCAAAAACCACCAAAUUAUAUUCGAAUUUCGAAGUGUUUUCCCUUUUUUUGAAUGAAUUAACGUUCAUUUGUGGUAUCAAUGAAUUGAUUAAUUGGAUCUUACACUUUGACUCCUUCUUUUGCAGCUGCUUUUGGAGUGAUGGUAUGUAACCUACGUAAAUAAGUUACCAGUGUCCAAACCAGGAGUGCAAUAAACAUGAUCAACAAGGCUAACUCUAUCCCCGAAACUAUCCCAAGGGGACCUUUCACUAAAAC